GGGUUGUGAGGUUAAGCGACUAAGCGUACACGGUGGAUGCCCUGGCAGUCAGAGGCGAUGAAGGACGUGCUAAUCUGCGAUAAGCGUCGGUAAGGUGAUAUGAACCGUUAUAACCGGCGAUUUCCGAAUGGGGAAACCCAGUGUGUUUCGACACACUAUCAUUAACUGAAUCCAUAGGUUAAUGAGGCGAACCGGGGGAACUGAAACAUCUAAGUACCCCGAGGAAAAGAAAUCAACCGAGAUUCCCCCAGUAGCGGCGAGCGAACGGGGAGCAGCCCAGAGCCUGAAUCAGUGUGUGUGUUAGUGGAAGCGUCUGGAAAGGCGCGCGAUACAGGGUGACAGCCCCGUACACAAAAAUGCACAUGCUGUGAGCUCGAUGAGUAGGGCGGGACACGUGGUAUCCUGUCUGAAUAUGGGGGGACCAUCCUCCAAGGCUAAAUACUCCUGACUGACCGAUAGUGAACCAGUACCGUGAGGGAAAGGCGAAAAGAACCCCGGCGAGGGGAGUGAAAAAGAACCUGAAACCGUGUACGUACAAGCAGUGGGAGCACGCUUAGGCGUGUGACUGCGUACCUUUUGUAUAAUGGGUCAGCGACUUAUAUUCUGUAGCAAGGUUAACCGAAUAGGGGAGCCGAAGGGAAACCGAGUCUUAACUGGGCGUUAAGUUGCAGGGUAUAGACCCGAAACCCGGUGAUCUAGCCAUGGGCAGGUUGAAGGUUGGGUAACACUAACUGGAGGACCGAACCGACUAAUGUUGAAAAAUUAGCGGAUGACUUGUGGCUGGGGGUGAAAGGCCAAUCAAACCGGGAGAUAGCUGGUUCUCCCCGAAAGCUAUUUAGGUAGCGCCUCGUGAAUUCAUCUCCGGGGGUAGAGCACUGUUUCGGCAAGGGGGUCAUCCCGACUUACCAACCCGAUGCAAACUGCGAAUACCGGAGAAUGUUAUCACGGGAGACACACGGCGGGUGCUAACGUCCGUCGUGAAGAGGGAAACAACCCAGACCGCCAGCUAAGGUCCCAAAGUCAUGGUUAAGUGGGAAACGAUGUGGGAAGGCCCAGACAGCCAGGAUGUUGGCUUAGAAGCAGCCAUCAUUUAAAGAAAGCGUAAUAGCUCACUGGUCGAGUCGGCCUGCGCGGAAGAUGUAACGGGGCUAAACCAUGCACCGAAGCUGCGGCAGCGACACUAUGUGUUGUUGGGUAGGGGAGCGUUCUGUAAGCCUGUGAAGGUGUGCUGUGAGGCAUGCUGGAGGUAUCAGAAGUGCGAAUGCUGACAUAAGUAACGAUAAAGCGGGUGAAAAGCCCGCUCGCCGGAAGACCAAGGGUUCCUGUCCAACGUUAAUCGGGGCAGGGUGAGUCGACCCCUAAGGCGAGGCCGAAAGGCGUAGUCGAUGGGAAACAGGUUAAUAUUCCUGUACUUGGUGUUACUGCGAAGGGGGGACGGAGAAGGCUAUGUUGGCCGGGCGACGGUUGUCCCGGUUUAAGCGUGUAGGCUGGUUUUCCAGGCAAAUCCGGAAAAUCAAGGCUGAGGCGUGAUGACGAGGCACUACGGUGCUGAAGCAACAAAUGCCCUGCUUCCAGGAAAAGCCUCUAAGCAUCAGGUAACAUCAAAUCGUACCCCAAACCGACACAGGUGGUCAGGUAGAGAAUACCAAGGCGCUUGAGAGAACUCGGGUGAAGGAACUAGGCAAAAUGGUGCCGUAACUUCGGGAGAAGGCACGCUGAUAUGUAGGUGAAGUCCCUCGCGGAUGGAGCUGAAAUCAGUCGAAGAUACCAGCUGGCUGCAACUGUUUAUUAAAAACACAGCACUGUGCAAACACGAAAGUGGACGUAUACGGUGUGACGCCUGCCCGGUGCCGGAAGGUUAAUUGAUGGGGU
Molecule: ribosomal RNA, 1872 nt
Filed under: Escherichia coli
Lineage: Bacteria; Pseudomonadati; Pseudomonadota; Gammaproteobacteria; Enterobacterales; Enterobacteriaceae
Description: partial 23S ribosomal RNA
Rfam family: Bacterial large subunit ribosomal RNA
Source: RNAcentral